CAAAGGAUGGUGGCGGCCGCCCCCCUUACAGGGGGGAGGAAAGUCCGGACCCCGCAGGGCAGGAAGGUCGCUAACGGCGACCGUUCCGACCAACCGUCGGAAUAGGGACAGGGCCACAGAAAAGAUACCGCCCUUCCGGCAGGCUUCGCUUGUCGAAGGGUAAGGGUGAAAAGGUGGGGUAAGAGCCCACCAGUUGCACGGGUGACCGUGGAAGCUUGGUAACCCCCUUUCGGGGCAAGGCCUAAUAGGUUUCACAGAUAAGGGUUGCCCGCCCUUUUCCCCAUCUUAAUGGGGAGGUGAAACGGGUUGGCCGCUCGACCCUGAUGGCAACAUCAGGGCUAGAUAAAUGGUCGCCAUCUGCCUCCGGAACCUCCGAAGGUGGAGACAGAAUCCGGCUUAUACCAUCCUUUGGCAU
RNAcentral lists this RNase P RNA (415 nucleotides) under Deltaproteobacteria bacterium. RNAcentral's name for it is "RNase P RNA component class A". It matches the Rfam family "Bacterial RNase P class A". Rfam says of the family: Ribonuclease P (RNase P) is a ubiquitous endoribonuclease, found in archaea, bacteria and eukarya as well as chloroplasts and mitochondria. The record is from RNAcentral. Lineage: Bacteria; Pseudomonadati; Myxococcota; Myxococcia.